Anguilla rostrata (American eel) is the source of this 1859-nucleotide long non-coding RNA. RefSeq lists it as uncharacterized. Lineage: Eukaryota; Metazoa; Chordata; Actinopteri; Anguilliformes; Anguillidae. The transcript has 3 exons. The record is from RefSeq and is a predicted model, not a curated record.
ACAAAUCUUUGAUAUCAAAACCAUAGACGUAUAUGUCUAUGAUCAAAACGGUUUCGUUCAACUAGCAAAUUAAAUGCUUGACAUUUUGGAUGCUACAAUAGGCAGCUUCAUGUCACACUAUGUUCAGUGUUGCCAACACUGCGCGCAAACUCAAAGGCUGUGAGAACUUUGCAACCGCUCACGGGGAAGGAGUUUCCAUCGAAAGCUACUAGCGAGGUUGUGUGAUGUUUUGGGUUUGGAAAUUUACCAACAUAAAUUUUAGCUACGACAGCAAAUGAGUUGGUCAACACCUAGUCAUUGCAUACAAUUGCAGUGCCUUCAAAUGAGAGGAGGAAGAAACAAAGAAGACGAGUGAAGGAGGCAGCUAGAGGCAGCGGUCGCCAAGACAGCAGGUUUAUCUGAGUGCGGGUCGCCCCGGCGAUGAAGCGGCUGCGGAAGUCACUCCGGUCUCGCCGGCUCGCCUGGCCCUUAUGAAACGGGAAUCGGCAGUUUCUGUACAUCACAAAGCCAAUCGCGCAGCGCCCCGCUCGCCCGCCACUUCGUUUGGCACGCCUCUGACCCGCGGAGGAGAGGAGGGAGACGUGUGGGGCAUAACGAGAGCCCGCCCCGUCACCUUUUUAGCAGGUGCGGCGGCGGUGUCCGCGGGAACGGAACGGAGUUCCGGGGACGUGUUCAGACGACUGCGUCCCACCAGGAUCCAUUUUCACAAGGGCUGUCACGCGUCGCACCAGCCUGAACCGCUGAAUGUGAACAAUGCAGUUAAUGUCUCCAUGUCACCGGUAAUGUGUGUGACAAGGCAGAUGGAUUUUGAGGUACCCCCCCCCCUCCAAGACAAAGUAUGUACGCAUCAGCGUUUUGUUGGAACGAUAUAAAACGACAGUCCGCUUUCAGGAGGGAAGAAUUAAUUAGCGGAUUCUUCAUGUUUGACAGCAAACGUAGAGGGUGUCCCUUUAAGGCGCUCCGCUCUUAAUAAUGCUAAUCCUAAAAUAAUCCCAAUAAUCCUGUCAGCGUUAUUGCUGGUGCACAUUUAAUUGUUGAUACUGUACAUACAAUAAACCAUCCUGACAACUGACAAAGUGAGUGCACAGCAUGGUCCCCAGACCUCCGUGCAUUAAGAUUCUGUUAAUGAAUGCCUCAGCAUUUUAAAAAGACUCCAGCUAUAGAAUUUUCAGGUAAUUAAAGUCUUAUUGCCACUGGGUGCAAAUCAUCUUCCAGGAAGACAGUUCUCAGAUUGAGUUUCUCCGGGGUGUAAAAGUGUCAAUUGACAGCUACCCUUGGGGCUGUUAAGAUCACGUUUUAAAAUAAGGAUUGCGACUGAGGUAAUAUAUGACAGCAGGCGAUAUUAAAAACAUACUGAAUAUGGAUAGUUUGUUUCCUCUUUUAUGCCCCGAGCUUAUGGUGCCUACUGCGUAAAUCUGAAUAUCUGACCGACUUUAAGUGCAAGACAAAAAAAAUAAAAAUAAAAUCUCAAAUAACCGGAUCAAACCUGGACUGUUUUUACAGCCUGGACAAUUUCUCUCUCCUUUAUCGUCAGCCUCUUUUGAUUGAUCCAGGCGUAGCAGAACCGAGUAGCCUGGGGUUUGGCUCAGGAACAGCUGCAAUUUCUCGCGCGUCCGCGUAUAUCCGAGAGGUAACACUAUCUUUUGCGUGGAGCGGGUAAUUCAUAGGUGCCGCUGACAGGUCCAGAGGCCCGUGCCACUCUCCCAUCCCUCUCCCCCCCCCUCGUCUGGAGCUACAGUUUUGCGCCGCGCGGAAUCGAUAGCUUCUUUUUCUCCCCAUCGAUCGGCCAGCAGUGGGACCGGCGUAAGCAGGUCUGUUAUGACAUUUCUAGAUUUCCUCCUGUCCUUGGAACAAUCAAU